ACACACACACACACAGGGCUACAGGUACACACACACACAGGGCUACAGGUACACACACACACACAGGGCUACAGGUACACACACACACACAGGGCUACAGGUACACACACACACAGGGCUACAGGUACACACACACACAGGGCUACAGGUACACACACACACACAGGGCUACAGGUACACACACACACAGGGCUACAGGUACACACACACAGGGCUACAGGUACACACACACACAGGGCUACAGGUACACACACACACAGGGCUACAGGUACACACACACACAGGGCUACAGGUACACACACACACAGGGCUACAGGUACACACACACAGGGCUACAGGUACACACACACACAGGGCUACAGGUACACACACACACAGGGCUACAGGUACACACACACACAGGGCUACAGGUACACACACACACACAGGGCUACAGGUACACACACACACACACACACACACACACAGGGCUACAGGUACACACACACACACACAUGCAGGGCUACAGGUACACACACACACACAGGGCUACAGGAAUACACACACACACACACACACACACACAGGGCUACAGGUACACACACACACACAAUCAUUAUGUCAAUACUAGGUAACGCUACACACUCACCCUCGCUCUCUCUCUUUCUCCCCCUCUCUCUCUCUCUUUCUCCCCCUCUCUCGCUCUCUCUUGCGCAUUCUACCCACUGCUCUCUUUCCCUCCCCCUCUCUCUAUUUCCUCCCCCUCUCCCUCUCUCUCUCCCCAG
Molecule: long non-coding RNA, 764 nt
Filed under: Salmo salar (Atlantic salmon)
Lineage: Eukaryota; Metazoa; Chordata; Actinopteri; Salmoniformes; Salmonidae
Description: lncRNA (ENSSSAG00000111393.1)
Source: RNAcentral